RNAcentral lists this ribosomal RNA (332 nucleotides) under Thoracocarpus bissectus. Its description in RNAcentral is "eukaryotic LSU rRNA". Lineage: Eukaryota; Viridiplantae; Streptophyta; Magnoliopsida; Pandanales; Cyclanthaceae. The record is from RNAcentral.
GAGGGCACGUCUGCCUGGGCGUCAUGCCUCGCGUCGCUCCGCGCACACCACGCCCCCUCCCUCCGAGGAGGGUAGGGCCGGCGUGCGUGUGCCGGAUGUGGUGAAUGGCCCCCCGUGCCCCUCCCCCCGGGGUGCGGUGGGCUGAAGAGCGUGCUGCCGAUGGAGGCGGGAUGCGAUGAGUGGUGGACCGAUCGGGUGCCGGGCCCGUGCGAGCCGGACGUCGCGCCUCCUGCCCCGAAAGGUGCAUGGCCCUUCGGGACCCCGACGGGGCGCCCACUGAGGCGCCCGCAAUGCGACCCCAGGUCAGGCGGGGCCACCCGCUGAGUUUAAGC